RNAcentral lists this long non-coding RNA (1331 nucleotides) under Gopherus agassizii (Agassiz's desert tortoise). Its description in RNAcentral is "lncRNA (ENSGAGG00000025296.1)". The record is from RNAcentral. Lineage: Eukaryota; Metazoa; Chordata; Testudines; Testudinidae.
CAGUGCUUUCCACUAUAACUGUAAAACUUAACAGCCAUUGCUUCCUCCUAUGGGGUUACUGAGCCUUUUAAAGAAGGAAACGAACCGCCAUUUUAAUAGCAUUCUAAAGGAUUCUGAAAGCAGAAGUCAUCUUGCAUGCAACGUCGUUCUGUGGGGUAACAUGCUACUUGCAAAUCUCAUUGUACAUACAGUAGAUGAGUCACCUUAUGCUCUGUGUAGGGGUGGGGGCAGGAGAUACGAUGCUGACCAUCAUGUCAAACAGCUACAGCUUCCCCAAACCAGAGAUUCAGACAAGGACGGGGGCGGAAGGGGAGCAACUGUAAAAGUAUAACUAAUUGUAACAGGUAAACUUUGGUAUCCGUGUCCAGUGGUUAGCUCUAGAUUUGCAAGCCUUGUUAUGUUGCACACACCCUCCAUUCACACCUGUCAUCAUCUUCUUCAUAUGAACUAGUGAUGAAUGACACAGAUUGUUGUGUCCGAAUGACUCUCAGACCAGUUCUGCCCCCUUUCCCACCCAAAUCCAAGACAGCAAAGAUAGCUGAGCAACAAAAAAUUGUUGACCAUCACUAGUUUUAGUUUAUUCAUUGGGUUUUUUUCUCCCCUCUAUUUUUAAGCUUCUUUAUCUGAACACACACAUAUAUAUAGGUGAUCAUACUCUUCAAAUACUUUAAUGGGGUUGCGUAGAAGUCGCUUGCCAUCUUUCAAAAGGCCCACCGGCAUCUUGCAGCCAUACACCUAACUAGAAAUGUAUUUGGUCGAUAUAGGUGACAUCUGGCAUUGCCCUUCUUGCGUACACUACAGUUGACAAGGAUCCACCCAUAGAAGCUGGCAGAAAGUGGCUUCUGUGCCUUUUUAUUUUGGGGAGGUAGAGGGGAAUUUUUUUGCACUAAGAUUAUUUGUUAACCUCAAAAUGGUCAACUUGCAGGAUUUAUUAAUACCCAGGAUUAAUCCGAUGUUGUGGAGUCCUACUCAGCUAGGUGUGUAGGCUUUGCAGUCAUCAAAAUGGCAAAUACCUUGGCUGUAUCUGUACAAUCACAGAGUAAAGUGGUUUGUAGUGAUUUUUUUUUCCUUCUGUGAAAUUUAAACAGGCCUCUGCUUUCAGCUGUGUUGUGUUGAUCUCCAUUGUUUAUGAGGAUAGAAGCACAGGAGAGCUAAACUCUUUACUGUGUCUAGACCCAACCUGAAGGUAAACCUUGUGUUCUGCAUUAAAAACCGUGUCAAAGCAUUGCCAAGAUACCAAUUUGAAGUCUGAGACAGCAGAAGAUGUUAGUGGGUCAUUGGAAUUGAGGGUUUUUUUGGAUCAGUUACAUGGAAUUUUCUUCUCGUGGAGA